UUUUUUUUUUUUUUUUUUUUUUAGUAGAGACGGGGUUUCACCGUGUUAGUCAGGAUGGUCUCGAUCUCCUGACCUCGUGAUCUGCCCGCCUUGGCCUCCCAAAGUGCUGGGAUUACAGGCGUGAGCCACCGCGCCCGGCCGCCACUUGUCCUUUUUUUCUGUCAGAUCCUGCCUCCCUGUUUCAGAGGGAAGAGUGCACUGUCAGUAACAAAAUGUUUUCUCCCUUGCGUCUCUUUUGCUACAGUUGGUAGAAAUUUCUCCUGGACUUCGUCGGUGACUAAUGGUGUUGGGAUGUUGUGGCCUUCACAGGGAAGGGACAGGGUGUCAGGUCACCAUUUCACAGAUGGUUGACCCGAUGCCGACUGUGACUGGCUCUUUUGGCUGCAAGUGACAGAAACCCAACUCAAACUUGUUCUGCAAGUAGAGACAUUUACUGAGUCUCAGAAUUGAAGGAAGGGAAAGGGUGUGUUUGGGUCCCAGAAAGGGUGUACCCUGGGGCUGGAAUCCUGUCCAGAUUCCACUCCCUCUUUAUGGAGGCUUAGCGCCUUAGAUGGGCUGUGUCCUCUGGCCCUGCACACACGGGCUUUCUAUUGGAAGCUGAGCAGGUCCACCGCUUCCGUUUACAAAUACAGUGACUGGCACACAAGCAUUCCUAUGCUUAUUGGGGAAUGUUGGGGGGCAGGGCCCUAGGACUGGCAACCCUCACUAAAACCCCAUGAGGGAAGGAGCUCCCCCAAAGGUGGUGCUGUUCCCAAAAAGGAAGGAAACAGCCAGUGCUCUCCACCCUGUCCCACCUGGCCAUUUUCCUCACAGAUGUCACCUGUCCUCCCAGGCCCAGCUGCUAAUUCUGCCUGACGCUUGGCCAAUUUGCCUGGUUAAAACCAGUGUAUUUCCAGGAGAUGGAUGACGUCACAGAACUGGAGUUCCAGAAGGCUGGGAUGGCCCAGCACUCCCUCCUUCUUUAGAACAUGGAGAGCUGUUAGUUGGGCAGGGCUGAAGCAUAUGUGGUGAGGAAGAAGAGGCUCCUACUGUAGACGGCCUUUUUCUACAGGUCCUCCCAGAAAUCCCCGGGCCAGCUGGAACCUGGAGUCAGAGAGGGAUGGGAGAGAGGUAAGCUGUGGAAGGGGUGGGAACAUACCUUCUGGAACCACUGUCUUCCUUGAGGGGACCC
This 1171-nucleotide long non-coding RNA is filed under the name Macaca fascicularis (crab-eating macaque). Its description in RNAcentral is "lncRNA (ENSMFAG00000056972.1)". The record is from RNAcentral. Lineage: Eukaryota; Metazoa; Chordata; Mammalia; Primates; Cercopithecidae.